UACGAAGGGGCUAGCGUUGCUCGGAAUCACUGGGCGUAAAGGGUGCGUAGGCGGGUCUUUAAGUCAGGGUGAAAUCCUGGAGCUCAACUCCAGAACUGCCUUUGAUACUGAGGAUCUUGAGUUCGGGAGAGGUGAGCGGAACUGCGAGUGUAGAGGUGAAAUUCGUAGAUAUUCGCAAGAACACCAGUGGCGAAGGCGGCUCACUGGCCCGAUACUGACGCUGAGGCACGAAAGCGUGGGUAGCAAACAGG
RNAcentral lists this ribosomal RNA (251 nucleotides) under uncultured bacterium. Its description in RNAcentral is "partial 16S ribosomal RNA". It matches the Rfam family "Bacterial small subunit ribosomal RNA", at positions 524 to 776 of the family's 1533-position model. The record is from RNAcentral.